CAGUGGUAGAAUUCUCGCCUGCC
RNAcentral lists this non-coding RNA (23 nucleotides) under Cricetulus griseus (Chinese hamster). The record is from RNAcentral. Lineage: Eukaryota; Metazoa; Chordata; Mammalia; Rodentia; Cricetidae. RNAcentral also lists the same sequence under 1 other name.